RNAcentral lists this long non-coding RNA (223 nucleotides) under Elaeis guineensis (African oil palm). RNAcentral's name for it is "long non-coding RNA (EGUI_LNC011493)". Lineage: Eukaryota; Viridiplantae; Streptophyta; Magnoliopsida; Arecales; Arecaceae. The record is from RNAcentral.
CCCAGAGACAAUGGGUUGCUUGUCGAUGAUGGCUAUACUAGUGAUGAUAGUGAUGGUGAUCAUAGUGCAGACUCCGGAUCAGACAACGAUACUGAUGUAUCUUCAGCCUGCGAGAUAAUUUCCCUGGAAGAUGAAUCACUAAAUUAGUAUUUUGUUUAUUUUUAUUUGGUUAGGUUAGUCAUUAGUCAUUGAUAUGUGCAAGCACAUCGAUUUAGAGAAUGUA